UACGAAGGGAGCUAGCGUUGUUCGGAAUCACUGGGCGUAAAGCGCACGUAGGCGGAUUUGUCAGUCAGGGGUGAAAUCCGGGGGCUCAACCUCGGAACUGCCUUUGAUACUGAAGAUCUUGAGUUCGGGAGAGGUGAGUGGAACUGCGAGUGUAGAGGUGAAAUUCGUAGAUAUUCGCAAGAACACCAGUGGCGAAGGCGGCUCACUGGCCCGAUACUGACGCUGAGGCACGAAAGCGUGGGGAGCAAACAGG
RNAcentral lists this ribosomal RNA (253 nucleotides) under uncultured bacterium. RNAcentral's name for it is "partial 16S ribosomal RNA". It matches the Rfam family "Bacterial small subunit ribosomal RNA", at positions 524 to 776 of the family's 1533-position model. The record is from RNAcentral.